Molecule: non-coding RNA, 225 nt
Filed under: Peptostreptococcaceae bacterium
Lineage: Bacteria; Bacillati; Bacillota; Clostridia; Peptostreptococcales; Peptostreptococcaceae
Description: T-box sequence
Rfam family: T-box leader
About the family: Uncharged tRNA acts as the effector for transcription antitermination of genes in the T-box leader family.
Source: RNAcentral
AAACAUUCGUUGAUGCAAAAGAGUAAUCAAAAGGAAAUUUUUACAGAGAAUUGCCGUUUGGUGAGAGGCAAAAAAGGAACUUUGAUGAAAAGAGUUGCUGAGAUAAAAAGGACAACGGGCUUAGCCUUAGUAUCUUUUUUCGAGUUCUCCACGUUACAGGAGAUAGAGUUAGUUGUUUUAUCGACUUAAUUAGAGUGGCACCACGGGUAUAUGCUCGUCUCUUUC